This 460-nucleotide ribosomal RNA is filed under the name uncultured bacterium. Its description in RNAcentral is "partial 16S ribosomal RNA". It matches the Rfam family "Bacterial small subunit ribosomal RNA", at positions 338 to 795 of the family's 1533-position model. The record is from RNAcentral.
CCUACGGGCGACAGCAGUGAGGAAUAUUGGUCAAUGGACGAGAGUCUGAACCAGCCAAGUAGCGUGAAGGAUGACUGCCCUAUGGGUUGUAAACUUCUUUUAUAAAGGAAUAAAACGAGGCACGUGUGCCUGUUUGCAUGUCCUUUAUGAAUAAGGAUCGGCUAACUCCGUGCCAGCAGCCGCGGUAAUACGGAGGAUCCGAGCGUUAUCCGGAUUUAUUGGGUUUAAAGGGAGCGUAGAUGGGUUGAUAAGUCAGUUGUGAACGUUUGCGGCUCAACCGAAAAAUUGCAAUUGAUACUGGCCGUCUUGAUGACAGUUGAGGUAGGCGGAAUUCGUGGAGUAGCGGUGAAAUGCAGAGAUAUCACGCAGAACCCCGAUUGCGAAGGCAGAAUACCGGCGCCCAACUGACGCGGGGGCACGAAAGUGCGGGUAUCAAACAGGAUUAGAUACCCGAGUAGUC